RNAcentral lists this ribosomal RNA (253 nucleotides) under uncultured bacterium. RNAcentral's name for it is "partial 16S ribosomal RNA". It matches the Rfam family "Bacterial small subunit ribosomal RNA", at positions 524 to 776 of the family's 1533-position model. The record is from RNAcentral.
UACGUAGGGGGCAAGCGUUGUCCGGAUUUAUUGGGCGUAAAGAGCGUGUAGGCGGCCUGAAAGGUCAGCUGUGAAAACUCGAGGCUCAACCUCGAGACGUCGGUUGAAACCAUCUGGCUAGAGUCCGGAAGAGGAGUGUGGAAUUCCCGGUGUAGCGGUGAAAUGCGCAGAUAUCGGGAGGAACACCAAUUGCGAAGGCAGCUCGCUGGGACGUUACUGACGCUGAGACGCGAAAGCGUGGGGAGCAAACAGG